AGAACGAACGCUGGCGGCAUGCCUAAUACAUGCAAGUCGAACGAACACUUCGGUGUUAGUGGCGCACGGGUGCGUAACGCGUGGGAAUCUGCCCUUGGGUUCGGAAUAACAGUUGGAAACGACUGCUAAUACCGGAUGAUAUCGAAAGAUCAAAGAUUUAUCGCCCAGGGAUGAGCCCGCGUAGGAUUAGCUAGUUGGUGAGGUAAAGGCUCACCAAGGCGACGAUCCUUAGCUGGUCUGAGAGGAUGAUCAGCCACACCGGAACUGAGACACGGUCCGGACUCCUACGGGAGGCAGCAGUGGGGAAUAUUGGACAAUGGGCGCGAAGCCUGAUCCAGCAAUGCCGCGUGUGUGAAGAAGG
RNAcentral lists this ribosomal RNA (361 nucleotides) under uncultured soil bacterium. RNAcentral's name for it is "bacterial SSU rRNA". It matches the Rfam family "Bacterial small subunit ribosomal RNA", at positions 26 to 414 of the family's 1533-position model. The record is from RNAcentral.